UACAGAGGGUGCAAGCGUUGUUCGGAAUUACUGGGCGUAAAGCGCACGUAGGCGGAUCGUUAAGUCGGGGGUGAAAUCCUGGAGCUCAACUCCAGAACUGCCUUCGAUACUGGCGAUCUCGAGUCCGGAAGAGGUGAGUGGAACUCCUAGUGUAGAGGUGGAAUUCGUAGAUAUUAGGAAGAACACCAGUGGCGAAGGCGACUCACUGGUCCGGUACUGACGCUGAGGUGCGAAAGCGUGGGGAGCAAACAGG
RNAcentral lists this ribosomal RNA (253 nucleotides) under uncultured bacterium. RNAcentral's name for it is "partial 16S ribosomal RNA". It matches the Rfam family "Bacterial small subunit ribosomal RNA", at positions 524 to 776 of the family's 1533-position model. The record is from RNAcentral.